RNAcentral lists this ribosomal RNA (440 nucleotides) under uncultured bacterium. RNAcentral's name for it is "partial 16S ribosomal RNA". It matches the Rfam family "Bacterial small subunit ribosomal RNA", at positions 339 to 795 of the family's 1533-position model. The record is from RNAcentral.
CUACGGGGCGCAGCAGUGGGGAAUAUUGCACAAUGGGCGCAAGCCUGAUGCAGCAACGCCGCGUGAACGAAGAAGGUUUUCGGAUCGUAAAGUUCUUUUCUUGGGGAAGAAACCAUGACGGUACCCAAGGAAUAAGCACCGGCUAACUACGUGCCAGCAGCCGCGGUAAUACGUAGGGUGCAAGCGUUAUCCGGAAUCACUGGGCGUAAAGGGUGCGUAGGCGGUUUUACAAGUCAGAAGUGAAAGGCAAUGGCCCAACCAUUGUAAGCUUUUGAAACUGUAAGACUUGAAUGCAGGAGAGGUAAGUGGAAUUCCUAGUGUAGCGGUGAAAUGCGUAGAUAUUAGGAGGAACACCAGUGGCGAAGGCGACUUACUGGACUGUUAUUGACGCUGAGGCACGAAAGCGUGGGGAGCGAACAGGAUUAGAUACCCUCGUAGUC